AGAGUUUGAUCCUGGCUCAGAUUGAACGCUGGCGGCGUGCCUAACACAUGCAAGUCGAGCGGUAACAGGUGUAGCAAUACAUGCUGACGAGCGACGAACGGGUGAGUAAUGCUUUGGAAUCUUCCCAGUAGUGGGAAUAACCAGUCGAAAGAUUGGCUAAUACCGCAUACGUCUGUAAAGGGAAAGCGGGGGCUCGUAAGACCUCGCGCUAUUGGAUGAGCCAAAGUCGGAUUAGCUAGUUGGUGGGGUAAUGGCCUACCAAGGCGACAAUCCGUAGCUGGUCUGAGAGGACGACCAGCCACACCGGAACUGAGACACAGUCCGGACUCCUACGGGAGGCAGCAGUGGGGAAUAUUGGACAAUGGGGGAAACCCUGAUCCAGCGACGCCGCGUGUGUGAAGAAGGCCUGCGGGUUGUAAAGCACUUUUAGUGGGGACAAAAAGCUACGGAUUAAUACUCUGUGGUCUUGAUUUAACCCAAAGAAAAAGCACCGGCUAACUCUGUGCCAGCAGCCGCGGUAAUACAGAGGGUGCGAGCGUUAAUCGGAAUUACUGGGCGUAAAGCGCGCGUAGACGGUUUUGUGAGUCAGAUGUGAAAUCCCUGGGCUCAACCUGGGAACUGCAUUUGAGACUGCAUGGCUAGAGUAUGGAAGAGGGAAGUGGAAUUUCCGGUGUAGCGGUGGAAUGCGUAGAUAUCGGAAGGAACACCAGUGGCGAAAGCGACUUCCUGGUCCAAUACUGACGUUCAUGUGCGAAAGCGUGGGGAGCAAACAGGAUUAGAUACCCUGGUAGUCC
Molecule: ribosomal RNA, 794 nt
Filed under: uncultured bacterium
Lineage: Bacteria
Description: bacterial SSU rRNA
Rfam family: Bacterial small subunit ribosomal RNA
Source: RNAcentral